Molecule: ribosomal RNA, 497 nt
Filed under: uncultured bacterium
Lineage: Bacteria
Description: partial 16S ribosomal RNA
Rfam family: Bacterial small subunit ribosomal RNA
Source: RNAcentral
GACGAACGCUGGCGGCGUGCCUAAUACAUGCAAGUAGAACGCUGAAGAGAGGAGCUUGCUCUUCUUGGAUGAGUUGCGAACGGGUGAGUAACGCGUAGGUAACCUGCCUGGUAGCGGGGGAUAACUAUUGGAAACGAUAGCUAAUACCGCAUAAAAUGGAUUAUCGCAUGAUAAUCCAUUGAAAGGUGCAAAUGCAUCACUACCAGAUGGACCUGCGUUGUAUUAGCUAGUUGGUGGGGUAACGGCUCACCAAGGCGACGAUACAUAGCCGACCUGAGAGGGUGAUCGGCCACACUGGGACUGAGACACGGCCCAGACUCCUACGGGAGGCAGCAGUAGGGAAUCUUCGGCAAUGGACGGAAGUCUGGCCGAGCAACGCCGCGUGAGUGAAGAAGGUUUUCGGAUCGUAAAGCUCUGUUGUAAGAGAAGAACGAGUGUGGGAGUGGAAAGUUCACACUGUGACGGUAUCUUACCAGAAAGGGACGGCUAACUACGUG